Molecule: transfer RNA, 59 nt
Filed under: Lasioglossum calceatum
Lineage: Eukaryota; Metazoa; Arthropoda; Insecta; Hymenoptera; Halictidae
Description: tRNA-Ser
Source: RNAcentral
GAAAUAUUGGUAAGAACUUCUAAUUCUUUUUUUAAAUGCUUAAAAUCAUUUAUAUUUCU